Molecule: ribosomal RNA, 253 nt
Filed under: uncultured bacterium
Lineage: Bacteria
Description: partial 16S ribosomal RNA
Rfam family: Bacterial small subunit ribosomal RNA
Source: RNAcentral
UACAGAGGUCCCAAGCGUUGUUCGGAUUCACUGGGCGUAAAGGGUGCGUAGGUGGUGGGGUAAGUCUGAUGUGAAAUCUCCGAGCUUAACUCGGAAAUGGCAUUGGAAACUACUCUGCUUGAGGGUUGGAGGGGGGACUGGAAUACUUGGUGUAGCAGUGAAAUGCGUAGAUAUCAAGUGGAACACCAGUGGCGAAGGCGAGUCCCUGGACAACUCCUGACACUGAGGCACGAAAGCUAGGGGAGCAAACAGG